This 494-nucleotide ribosomal RNA is filed under the name uncultured bacterium. Its description in RNAcentral is "partial 16S ribosomal RNA". It matches the Rfam family "Bacterial small subunit ribosomal RNA", at positions 28 to 507 of the family's 1533-position model. The record is from RNAcentral.
GACGAACGCUGGCGGCGUGCUUAACACAUGCAAGUCGAACGGAAAGGCCUGCUUUCCCUUGUGGAUUGCGGGUACUCGAGUGGCGAACGGGUGAGUAACACGUGAGUGAUCUGCCCCCAACUUGGGUAUAAGCCUGGGAAACUGGGUCUAAUUCCCGAUAGGACUGCAGGGUGGUGCCUGUGGUGGAAAACGAUUUUCUAGUGGUUGGGGAUGAGCUCGCGGCCUAUCAGCUUGUUGGUGGGGUAAUGGCCUACCAAGGCGGCGACGGGUAGCCGGCCUGAGAGGGUGGACGGCCACAUUGGGACUGAGAGACGGCCCAGACUCCUACGGGAGGCAGCAGUGGGGAAUAUUGCACAAUGGGCGGAAGCCUGAUGCAGCGACGCCGAGUGGGGGAUGACGGCCUUCGGGUUGUAAACUCCUUUCGACCGCGAGGAAGCCACCUGGUUGGAAGGGUGGUGACGGUAGUGGUAGAAGAAGCACCGGCUAACUACGUG